AAGAUCCUACGGGACGCAGCAGUGGGGAAUAUUGCACAAUGGGGGGAACCCUGAUGCAGCGACGCCGCGUGGGUGAAGGAGUAUUUCGGUAUGUAAAGCCCUAUCAGCAGGGAAGAACAAUGACGGUACCUGACUAAGAAGCACCGGCUAAAUACGUGCCGGCAGCCGCGGUAAUACGUAUGGUGCAAGCGUUACCCGGAUUUACUGGGUGUAAAGGGAGCGCAGGCGGCGCGUUAAGCCUGGUGUGAAAGCCCGCGGCCCAACCGCGGGACUGCAUUGGGAACU
Molecule: ribosomal RNA, 285 nt
Filed under: uncultured bacterium
Lineage: Bacteria
Description: partial 16S ribosomal RNA
Rfam family: Bacterial small subunit ribosomal RNA
Source: RNAcentral